This 253-nucleotide ribosomal RNA is filed under the name uncultured bacterium. Its description in RNAcentral is "partial 16S ribosomal RNA". It matches the Rfam family "Bacterial small subunit ribosomal RNA", at positions 524 to 776 of the family's 1533-position model. The record is from RNAcentral.
UACGUAGGGGGCGAGCGUUGGCCGGAAUUAUUGGGCGUAAAGCGCGUGUAGGCGGCUUGGUAAGUCCGGUGUGAAACCUUGGGGCUCAACCCCAAGCCUGCACUGGAUACUGCCUCGCUUGAGUCCGGGAGGGGAGAGCGGAAUUCCUAGUGUAGCGGUGAAAUGCGCAGAUAUUAGGAAGAACACCGGUGGCGAAGGCAGCUCUCUGGAACGGUACUGACGCUGAGACGCGAAAGCGUGGGGAGCGAACAGG